GGGGCUGACCGGAAUUGACGGGUAGAGCACUUGGGAUGUAAGCAUGUAGAGCUUUGUUUGCUGGCUCUUAAAUCCUAACAUUCAAACUCUAAGAGGCGAAAAUAACUUCGCAAUGGCUGCCUAGUCUCAGACUACGCACCGCCAUACACCUACAGUGUCCUUAUCUGGGCCGAUACUGAAAUGGGUGUUCGACAUGCCUGGGUAUGUUUUUGUAGUGGUUAUAUGCAAUUACAUUAUUUAAUAACCUAAGGUUUAAAUUGGCUAUCCUUAGGCUUUUUUACUCCUGACACCCAAGUAAGGAUAAACAUGUAGAAAGCGUCAUCAUUUCCUACUCCGGACGAGGGUUCGAAUCCCUCCAGCUCCACGG
This 367-nucleotide transfer-messenger RNA is filed under the name Bacteroidota bacterium. It matches the Rfam family "transfer-messenger RNA". Rfam says of the family: Bacterial tmRNA, also known as 10Sa RNA or SsrA, is named for its dual tRNA and mRNA-like properties. Its role is to liberate the mRNA from a stalled ribosome. To accomplish this part of the tmRNA is used as a reading frame that ends in a translation stop signal. Lineage: Bacteria; Pseudomonadati; Bacteroidota. The record is from RNAcentral.